GGGUCAAGGCAUGCAGAUUUUACCAUUCUGCCACCGAAUACAUUAGCAUGGGAUAAUGGAAUAGGACCCUGUCCUCCUAUUUUCCGCGUUGGUUUUCGAGGACCAGGGUAAUGAUUAAUAGGGAUAGUUGGGGGCAUUAAUAUUUAAUUGUCAGAGGUGAAAUUCUUGGAUUUAUGAAAGAUUAACUUCUGCGAAAGCAUCUGCCAAGGAUGUUUUCAUUAAUCAAGAACGAAAGUUAGGGGAUCGAAGACGAUCAGAUACCGUCGUAGUCUUAACCAUAAACGAUGCCGACCAGCGAUUAGGAGACGUUGAAUACAAAACACCACCAUCAGGCAGUGAGAUCGUGCCUCAUUCCGGCAACGGGUGGGGGCGGUUUCAUUCCCCUGAUGGCCCGGUGAAUGACUCCCUACCCCUUGGGGA
Molecule: ribosomal RNA, 420 nt
Filed under: Acanthamoeba genotype T1
Lineage: Eukaryota; Discosea; Longamoebia; Acanthamoebidae
Description: SSU rRNA
Rfam family: Eukaryotic small subunit ribosomal RNA (bases 1-358)
Source: RNAcentral